This 549-nucleotide long non-coding RNA is filed under the name Cyanistes caeruleus (blue tit). RNAcentral's name for it is "lncRNA (ENSCCEG00000018277.1)". The record is from RNAcentral. Lineage: Eukaryota; Metazoa; Chordata; Aves; Passeriformes; Paridae.
GUAAAGAUGAAAAAAAAAGAAAAUCCAGCAAGUUAAUUGCAUUUCAUACCUUAGGUGGUACAUGAAUCAGCAUCAUCACAACUUCACAUUUUUCUCAAGGAUUAAUUCUCUCAGCUAGGGAAAGAAAACUAUUCUUUUCUUCCCCUAGUGAUGUACUUGGUUACUAAUGAAGCACAUGCAAAGCUAACCAACAGAAGUGUUAAAUUAAAGACAAUUUGAAAGAUUAACAGCAUUCAGCUGUGUUGCUGAAGGGGGGGAUUAUCUGAUUAGUGCCACACCCCAGUUGUGCUAAUUGAAGUGAAGAUCAGGACGGAAAGACCAAGCCUCAAAAGGACUGAAUUCUACCACAAUGGAAGCAGACACUGUGGUCUAGAUUCCAGGAUCUUAUGGACUCCUUUCCAUUACAGGAAGGUGGCCUGAUUUCAACAGCAAUCCAUACCAAUGAUUUUGAUGGCAGAGCCGGUAAAGCUUUCAAAGGUGGGUUGGAAAUAGAAAUCAGAAGUGCUCACCUAUGAUUUUUUCAAGGCUAAAGAAAUAUUUGAAGUCUUU